GAUGAACGCUAGCGGCAGGCUUAACACAUGCAAGUCGAGGGGCAGCAUAAAACAUAGCAAUAUGUUUGGUGGCGACCGGCGGACGGGUGCGUAACGCGUAUGCAACCUUCCCUAAACAGGGGGAUAAUCCGAAGAAAUUUGGUCUAAUACCCCAUAACAUCAGUCAUGGCAUCAUGAUUGGUUAAAAUUUUCGGAGGUUUAGGAUGGGCAUGCGUAGCAUUAGCUUGUUGGUGAGGUAACGGCUCACCAAGGCGACGAUGCUUAGGGGGACUGAGAGGUUAACCCCCCACACUGGUACUGAGACACGGACCAGACUCCUACGGGAGGCAGCAGUGAGGAAUAUUGGUCAAUGGACGGAAGUCUGAACCAGCCAUGCCGCGUGCAGGAUGACGGCUCUACGAGUUGUAAACUGCUUUUGUACGAGGGUAAAGUGGGCUACGUGUAGCUUUUUGAAAGUAUCGUACGAAUAAGGAUCGGCUAACUCCGUGCCAGCAGCCGCGGUAAUACGGAGGAUCCGAGCGUUAUCCGGAUUUAUUGGGUUUAAAGGGUGCGCAGACGGCGCAGUAAGUUAUAGGUGAAAUAUCGGUGCUUAACAUCGAAACUGCCUGUGAUACUGCUGUGCUCGAGACCAGUUGCGGAAGGCGGAAUGUGUGGUGUAGCGGUGAAAUGCUUAGAUAUCACACAGAACCCCGAUUGCGAAGGCAGCUUUCCAAGCUGGAUCUGACGUUGAGGCACGAAAGCGUGGGUAGCGAACAGGAUUAGAUACCCUGGUAGUCCACGCUGUAAACGAUGAUUACUCGUUGUCGGCGAUAUACAGUCGGUGACUAAGCGAAAGCGAUAAGUAAUCCACCUGGGGAGUACGUUCGCAAGAAUGAAACUCAAAUGAAUUGACGG
RNAcentral lists this ribosomal RNA (894 nucleotides) under uncultured bacterium. Its description in RNAcentral is "bacterial SSU rRNA". It matches the Rfam family "Bacterial small subunit ribosomal RNA", at positions 28 to 916 of the family's 1533-position model. The record is from RNAcentral.